CUUUAUUGGAGAGUUUGAUCCUGGCUCAGGACGAACGCUGGCGGCAUGCCUAAUACAUGCAAGUCGAGCGGACUUGAUGAGAAGCUUGCUUCUCUGAUAGUUAGCGGCGGACGGGUGAGUAACACGUAGGCAACCUGCCCUCAAGUUUGGGACAACUACCGGAAACGGUAGCUAAUACCGAAUAGUUGUUUUC
RNAcentral lists this ribosomal RNA (193 nucleotides) under Paenibacillus sp. RU26A. RNAcentral's name for it is "16S rRNA. Bacterial SSU". It matches the Rfam family "Bacterial small subunit ribosomal RNA", at positions 1 to 184 of the family's 1533-position model. The record is from RNAcentral. Lineage: Bacteria; Bacillati; Bacillota; Bacilli; Caryophanales; Paenibacillaceae. RNAcentral also lists the same sequence under 1 other name.